This 2077-nucleotide long non-coding RNA is filed under the name Gossypium barbadense (sea-island cotton). Its description in RNAcentral is "long non-coding RNA (GBAR_LNC009157)". The record is from RNAcentral. Lineage: Eukaryota; Viridiplantae; Streptophyta; Magnoliopsida; Malvales; Malvaceae.
GAUAACGUUAACUCGAUAGGGUGAUAAUAUCUCAGACGGCCUCCAACCCGAGCUAACCUGGAAACUCUAGAAAACAUGGGAAAGAAGGGGGGUAAGAUUUCGCUUAGUAAGUUCAUAUGAAAACAAUAAGCAACUCAUUAACUUGUUUUAUCAAUGUUUACAACAUAUUCUCAAGUUCACUACAAGUUAUCUUCCUGCGCAACAAUCACUAAAUUAUUUAUAUCUGGAGCUACGAAACUUAAAAUUAAGUUCCGUUAAUUUCAACUGAAACUAGACUCAUUUAUCAUUCUUUCAUAAAAUUUACAGAAUUUUUGACAUAGCCAAUUAGUACAGUUUAUUCCUCAAGUUUGCUCCUGAUUCACUGUAUGACAAUUUCAACCCUUCUGUACUAAAGUUCAAUUAUCUCAUAGUACAGGAUUCGAAUAAUGUUCUUGUCUAUUUCUCUUGAAACUAGACUCAUAUGUCUACUAACUAAUUUUUUUCUAGAAUUUUUGGUCAAGCCAUUUAGCACAUUUUAUUAGUUAAAGUUUCCCCUAUUUCAGGGUAUGACUACUUUGACCCCUGUGCACUACGAAUCGAAUUUCUCCAUGUACAGAAUUCCAAUGACCAUGCCGUUUGUUUCCCUAAAAAUAGACUCAAUAAGGAAUCUAUUCAGGUAAGGUAUGACUCUUAAUAAUGUUUUUACAAUUUACGGUGAACUUGUAAAAUCAAAAUAGGGGAUCUCAAAUUCAUUCAAACCCUGUUUCACAAGAAUUUAAAUAUCACACAAUAUAGAAUUCUUUUUCUUCCUCUAUUUCUUUCAUGUGAAAAUAGACUCAUUAAGCUUUAAUACCAUAUUUUAUUCUGCCUCUAACUCAUUUUCCACUAUUUUUAGUGUAUUUUCAAAGUUACACUACUACAGUAACUCAAAUCUGUCAAGGCUAAGUUACUCAUUCAUGGUCAUUGUUCAUAAUAUUAAUACAACACCAUUUUAUCCAUCAUGGUAAGAACACAUAUUAUGCAUCAUAGGAUUAGUAUACAUACUUGCACAACUCGUAACAUAACUCGAGUGCAUACUCACCAAUGACUUACCUCAUUGGGACCAUCAUCAACUCUUUCCUUGGAUUGCCCGUUGAACACUUGGAAUACUAAUUGGAUACUCGGAAAAGCCUUUGCACAUAAGUGCCUCAAUUGUAGCUAAAACUACCUCGUAUCUCAUGACAUUUCAAUUCUCACUCUCGAGCUAGUCAUCUAGACUCAUAAUUCCUAGUGACAUGUCACUCGUAUCCUAUUCUAUUCCUAAGGUUCAAACGGGAUUUUUCCUCGUCUAUUAAGGCUUUGUCUUAUCAUAUUUCUAUUAAUCACAUACACCUUAAUAUCUGUACAAUUCAUGUAAUGAUAACAUUUAAAUACAUGUAUAGCAUGGUAUUGUUUACAUACGAACUUACCUCUAUACCACAAAGGUGAAAAGGACAUACUCGUCCAUAAAUCGAUUUCUUUCUGUUCUAGGUCCAAGUCUCAAUUUUCAUCAUCUAUAACAUCACAUUUAGCCUACCAAUCAGUCACAAUAUUCAUAUGGGUCUAAAAAUCAUAUUUUUACAAAUUUUCAUUUUGACCCCUAAACUUUUGCAUAUUUGCACUUUUGCCCCAAUGCUCGUAAAUUAAUUUUUAUCACAUUUAUUUACUCCUUGAGUCUAGAUGAACCAUUUUCAUAACUAUAGCAACUCAUAAUUUCAACUAUUUUACACAUUUACAACUCAUUUUACAACUUAGCAAUUUAGCCCUUUUUAAGGUAUUUUCAUGCAAUUGCUUUCACAAAAGUUGUUUAUUAGACAACUAGGACUCAUAAUCUUCCAUAAAAACACAGAAAACAACACAUUUACUCUCAUGGUAAAACCCUAGACUCUUCAUCAUUUUGCAAAAUAAUCCCCUCUUAUGAAAGCUUAUGCUUUAGGGGUUCCAAAAAUACAAAAAUCAUCAAGCAAAGACAUUAAAAUCACUUACAAGCAAGGGAAAUAUGUUGCUGAAAUUUUCCAGCUUCAAAACCCUUUCUUUUCUGCAUAUUUCGGUGAAGGGGUAGAGAAAAAUGACAGCUUUU